CACCACUUGUUCUCCAUCAGAAGCAGCUGUUUCUUGAGUAGCGUCAUAGUUGAUCCAUCUUGUUCCUGUGGUGUGCAUUUUGUCUUCCUAUAACGAAUCGCUCUUGCCUGAUCCAUUUGCAAAAAAACGAUGACAAAAUUCGGUGGCUCUUCAAAAAUUUGGUGCACCCUGCCUUAGCUAAAUCAUCAGCCACCUCAUUCCCCUUUCCGUAGGUAUGUGCAGUGGUAGCACUAUGUAGUUGGCACUAUGUAGUUGGCCCAGGAGGUACCUGCAAUCAGCUAGUAUAUUAGUACAAACUAUGUUGUCAUUUUUUAACAUGAUAAGUACCUCUGAUGGUAAGCAAUCCCCAACUUUCAAUCGAGAGGUUGUGAGUUCGAGUCUCCCCAAGAGCAAGGUGGGAAGUUCUUGGAGGGCAGGACGCCGGGGGUCUAUUUGGAAAGAGCGUCUCUACCCAAUGGUAGGGGUAAGGUCUGUGUACACACUACCCUCCCCAGACCCCACUAAGUGGAAUUAUACUGGGUUGUUGUUGUGGAAAUCGAAAUCGAAAAAAUAGAAACCUUAUUGAAACGAUAACGAUAAACAUAUUACGUAUGUACAAAUUGAUAAUCGAUAAGGGCCGAAAUCGAUCUCUACCCAAGGGUAGGGGUAAGGUCUGCGUACACACUACCCUCCCCAGACCCCACUAAGUGAGAUUAUACUGGAUAAUUAUUAUUGUUGUUGUAUUAAGUACAUCUGAUGUAUCGACGUUUAUCUCUCGCGAAACCAAUUUGUAUGUAUUUUCCGAUUCCAGUCCAUGGAAUAGGGCCUUUACUUUUUAUUUUGGACGGUACUUGAAUCUUCCAAAUCCAAUUGUAAAAGAUUGUGUGUUCUGUUAUGUUUAAAUCCUGUUGUAGUAACUAUUGACUGGACAGUAAAUUUUCCAAGCUCGGAUAAUCCUCA
RNAcentral lists this long non-coding RNA (939 nucleotides) under Nicotiana benthamiana. RNAcentral describes it as "long non-coding RNA (NBEN_LNC006719)". The record is from RNAcentral. Lineage: Eukaryota; Viridiplantae; Streptophyta; Magnoliopsida; Solanales; Solanaceae.